AUCUAGCUGACGAGUCACAAAUAGGACGAAACGCGCGUCCUGGAU
Molecule: non-coding RNA, 45 nt
Organism: Schistosoma haematobium
Lineage: Eukaryota; Metazoa; Platyhelminthes; Trematoda; Strigeidida; Schistosomatidae
Source: Rfam